CUGGGCGAUAAACCGAUUUUAUCGAUUAACUCGAGUGUGUAGUUCACGUCGACUUGUUUGAAUGAAAAUCGGUUUUCUCUUUAACAUCCGCUAACGCUUCCCUCUGGCCUCCCGUAGAAUGAGCUCGGCCCUCCCUCCCCCCGCAUAGAGCGCGCAUUUACCAAAUAGUGAGUGAUAGUAGUGAGUGACAACAUGGCAGCAAGCAGGGAAGAACUCGUUCCGAAGAAAGGCACUGUGUCAUCCGUCAUUUGGAAUUGGUUCGCGUUCGCGAGGUCAGAUUUAGACCAGACAACACCCCGCUGCAAAGUCUGUAUGAAGUCUGUUGCUAGCAAAGGCAGCAGUACGACAAAUUUACUGCAGCACCUCAAACAAAAGCAUCCUGUCGAAUGGGAGAAAUGUUGCGCGCAGCGGAAUGAAAAAGACAGCAGCACCCCAAGCACCACACGCACAGCCGCUAAAAUACAGUCCACCGUACCACAAACGUUUUCAAACUGCAUCCCAUAUGACAAGAAUUCGGCCCGCUGGAAAGCCAUAACAGAUGCGAUUGCUAUGUAUAUAGCAAAGGAUAUGGUGCCAAUAUAUACGGUGGAAAAGCCGGGGUUCAUUAACAUGAUUAAAGUUUUGGACCCCAGGUAUGUGCUACCUAGCCGAAAGUACUUCUCCGACGUUGCCUUGCCCAAUCUAUAUAAUAGCACAAGACAACGGGUCAAAAAAGAGUUGGACGAUGUGUCGUCUUACUCUGCCACCACAGAUUUAUGGUCAAGUCGGACGAUGCAACCGUACAUGAGUCUCACUGUGCACUUCAUUAACAAUGACUGGAUUCUGCGGAGCGUCUGCCUUCAAACGGCAUACUUUCCAGAGGACCACACGGGUGAAAUUGUAGCCCAGGGGCUAAGAGAUGCCCUCAACUCAUGGAACCUUGCCGAAGACCGACUCAUUUGUAUGACUACUGACAGUGGCAGCAACAUGAUUAAAGCUCUGAAGGACAAUGCGUGGCCUAACCUGCAGUGCUUUGGACACAGAUUGCACAAUGCUGUCGAGAAUGGUGUGAAGGACCCACGGAUCAAUCGUGCUGUUGGGGUUUGUAAAAAGGCUGUGUCUGCCUUUUCUUACAGCUGGAAAAAAAGAAGAGACAUGAGCGAAGUACAGGCAGAGCUUGGUCUACCCACUCAUCAGCUGAUAACAGAGUCCCCGACUAGAUGGGGUUCACGCCAAAGAAUGAUUGAGAGAUUUCUCGAACAGGAGAAGGCUCUAGUCCGUGUCCUGGGUUCGGACAAGAAAAGUCGCCAUCUUGUGCCCACUUGGCAAGAUUUGGAUGUGUUGGAGUCGGUAAAUAAAGCUGUGAAACCACUCCAAGAGUUCACUGAUGCACUCUCUGGGGAAUCCUAUGUCAGUGUUUCAUACAUUAAACCAGUGCUCCAUCUGUUCAAAACCAGUCUCCUAGAGCCAGGGGAGGAAGACACAGAGCUCACCAAAAUAAUAAAAGGGAAUGUAAUGCGGUACCUUGACGACAAAUACAGUGACCCUGUAAAAGAUGAGCUCUUGGACAUGGCCUCACUGGUUGACCCAAGGUUCCGCACAACCUACAUUGACCCAGACAAGGUGGAAGAAGUCAAAAAAAGAGUUGUUGCUGAGCUGAUGGCUCUACCUGCUCCCUCCAACAACAGUACACCACAGCAGCCUGGCACAGCUGUGCAGGUGCGCCAAGAAGAUGCACAGCCUCCACCCAAGAAAAAGAUGACUUUAGCGGCCUUCUUCAAACAGAAUGUAGUGUCAUCUCCCAACCAGUCAGAGGCAGAAAAGAUAGAGACUGAGCUGAAAUCUUACUUAUUGACCCCUGAAGUAGACCCAGACACCAAUCCUCUUGAGUGGUGGAAGCGCCACCAACCAAAUUUUCCUAGGCUAAGUGUCCUGGCAAAAAGAUACCUCUCAAUCCCAGCAACAAGUGCACCCUCAGAGAGGGUUUUCAGUGUGGGGGGGGGGCAUUGUUACAUGCCAUCGAGCAUGUCUAAAGCCAGAGGUGGUAGAUAGGCUUGUCUUCCUGGCUAAGAAUGUUUAGAAAUGUUUAGAAAAAAGCACCCUAUGCUGUCAUGUACAGAUAACUGAUGCUGUUGAAUGUUAUGUUACAUAAGGUUACAUGUCAUGUUUUGUGUCAUGUACAUGUCAUGUUUUCACAGUUUACAAUGGCAGGGUCUGCCAUAUUGCCUUUUUGGCUAAUUGUUGUUGAUUGCACUUUAACUCCAAGGGAGAAAUCAAAAUAAACAAGUAUUUUUGGAACUAUUUCUUUUGCAUCUGAAUUUGGGGGCUGUUGAGAAAAUCGAUUUAAAUCGUAAAUCGGAUUUUUUGUGAAAAAAUCGGGGAUUUUUUUUUUAGGCCAUAUCGCCCA
RNA transcript from Alosa sapidissima (American shad), 2386 nucleotides. It is a transcript of the gene named E3 SUMO-protein ligase ZBED1-like, with no coding region annotated. The transcript is spliced from 3 exons. Lineage: Eukaryota; Metazoa; Chordata; Actinopteri; Clupeiformes; Clupeidae. The record is from RefSeq and is a predicted model, not a curated record.